This is a non-coding RNA of Paramuricea clavata, 477 nucleotides long. Lineage: Eukaryota; Metazoa; Cnidaria; Anthozoa; Malacalcyonacea; Plexauridae. The record is from the annotation of a GenBank genome assembly.
CUUUCAUUUUUUCAAUCUCACAUUACCUCCCCACCUCCCCCCCUCCCCAAAAAAAUAAGUAUAGUUUGCUGCUUCAGUUCAUCCAUAUUCCAAUAAGUUCCACUUUGUAAUGAAGUAAAUACAAUAUCCUAGCUUAUUUCGACCCUGUUUAUUUUAAAGUUGGAAAAGUUUUUUGUAAAAAUCACAAAGUUUGUUUUCGAAAUUCAAAUUUUGUUGAAAACCACAAUAUGGUUGGCAUAAGAAUAAAAAAACAACCGAAGAACACAACCCUCCUAUAAGUCAGUACUGUAUAGAACUGCCUCGUUCCUCAACAAAUCCAUUUCAUUUGUAUCCAGGAAUAAUCAAACUCAUGUAUUAAGAGUGUGCUGGGAUAAAUAAGACAGGACUAUUAAACAACAAGGCAGUUCUAACAGUGCUAAUUUUAUAAGUAUUGCACACUUCAAUUGAUCACUGAAUUGGUUUUUAUCUCAAAUUACA